GGCGAUCAGAUACCGCCCUAGUUCUGACCGUAAACGAUGCCAACUAGCGAUCCGCCGGCGGAUUCAUUCGCCCUGGUGGGGAGCUUCCCGGAAACGAAAGUCUUCCGGUUCCGGGGGAAGUAUGGUUGCAAAGCUGAAACUUAAAGGAAUUGACGGAAGGGCACCACCAGGAGUGGAGCCUGCGGCUUAAUUUGACUCAACACGGGGAAACUCACCCGGCCCGGACACCGUAAGGAUUGACAGAUUGAUAGCUUUUUCAUGAUUCGGUGGAUGGUGGUGCAUGGCCGUUCUUAGUUCGUGGAGCGAUUUGUCUGGUUUAUUCCGAUAACGAGCGAGACUCUGGCCUACUAAAUAGUUGGCGCAUUGACACUGUGCGCACAACACUUCUUAGAGGGAUUUUCGGUGUUCAGCCGCAAGAAAUUGAGCAAUAACAGGUCUGUGAUGCCCUUAGAUGUCCGGGGCUGCACGCGCGCUACACUGGCAAAAUCAGCGUGCUUGUCCUUCCCCGAAAGGGGUUGGUAAACCCGUGAAAAUUUGCCGUGAUUGGGAUCGGACAUUGCAAUUAUUGUCCGUGAACGAGGAAUUCCUUGUAGGGGCGAGUCAUCAACUCGCUCUGAUUACGUCCCUGCCCUUUGUA
This 637-nucleotide ribosomal RNA is filed under the name Helicotylenchus cf. digonicus TSH-2005. RNAcentral's name for it is "SSU rRNA". It matches the Rfam family "Eukaryotic small subunit ribosomal RNA", at positions 1003 to 1664 of the family's 1831-position model. Lineage: Eukaryota; Metazoa; Nematoda; Chromadorea; Rhabditida; Hoplolaimidae. The record is from RNAcentral. RNAcentral also lists the same sequence under 1 other name.